GGCUUGAUGAUAAUAAUUUCAAGUYUGGCCUGCCCAAUGAGAUUUUUAAAUGGCCGCAGUAUAUUGACUGUGCAAAGGUAGCAUAAUCAUUAGUUUUUUGAUUGAGAACUGGAAUGAAAGGUUUGAUGAAAAAAUAUCUGUCUCUAAAAAAAUUUAUUAGAAUUUUAUUUUUAAGUUAAAAAGCUUAAAUAUGUAUAGAAGACGAGAAGACCCUAUAGAGUUUUAUAUAUAUAGAAAAUUAAAUUUUUAAGAAAAAUAAUUUUUUGUUUUCUGUAAGUAUUUUGUUGGGGUGAUAGAAAAAUUUAAUAAACUUUUUUUUAAAAAGUACAUUAAUUUAUGAUUAAAUGAUCCUAAAAUUUAGAUUAUAAGAAAAAAUUACCUUAGGGAUAACAGCGUAAUUUUUUCUAGAGUUCUUAUCGAAAGAAAAGAUUGCGACCUCGAUGUUGGAUUAAAAUAAAUUUUUGGUGAAGAAGCUGGAAAAUUAGGUCUGUUCGACCUUUAAAAUUUUACAUGAUCUGAGUUUAAACCGGUGUGAG
This 536-nucleotide ribosomal RNA is filed under the name Trigonopterus sp. 239 AR-2022a. RNAcentral's name for it is "partial large subunit ribosomal RNA". Lineage: Eukaryota; Metazoa; Arthropoda; Insecta; Coleoptera; Curculionidae. The record is from RNAcentral.